ACAUGGGCAAAUAAGGCAAAUAUGUCCUCAAAGAGCUUCCAUCUAAUUGAGCAAAUAAUUACAAGCAUGAUAACUCUUAGGUGAGAUAAGGACAGAAUGUCAUAUCUAUCUGGGAAAUGAAGGAUGACUAAUAAUGGAUUAGCUGCGAUGUAGAUACUAAGAGGAAAUAAUACACAAAAAAGAAUUUGGAAAAGGAAAGUAGGUGAUAUACCUUGAGGAACUGAAAGAACCCCAGUGUGACUAUAGCACUGAGAACAGGGGUGAAGCAGAGUGCCUGGUUGGGAUGAAGAAGAGGUUGGCAUAGGUCAGACUUCACAGACCAUUUAAAACUCAACAUCUUGGUUCAAACACGAAACUGAAAGAAUGCUUGAAGUGUUUUAUAAGAGAGAAAUGAAAUGAUCAGAUUUGACUCUCAAAAGACAACUCCAGCUUCUGUUUAGAGAAUAAAUUGAAGAAAGAAAAGGGUGCAGAUCUAGUGGUCCUUUAGCAGGUUAAUGCAAUCCAGAAGAGGGAUGAUGAUGUGGACCCCAGGAGGCAGCAGCCAUGAUGGAUGGAGACGGGUGAUCUUAAUAUCAAUAAUCAUAGUGGCAAAGCUUUUUGCUAUUCUUAAUCCCUUACACAGCUGCUGAAAAUCUUUCUUCUUGUCCCUUCUCCCUUGCUCAGUGAGGAUAAAGGAUUGCUGAUCACCGUUCAUUCUGGAAGCACAAUUCUGCUGCUGUACCUCCUGGGAAGCAUGUCCUGAGGCCCACCUUACAAGUGAUGCCCCUGCCUCUGUCCUGGCCACCCCAUCAUGGCUCCAUUGAUAUCUGUGUUCCCUCAGUCCAGAACUUUCACCCAAACUCAUAAGAGAAGUGAAUAGAUGGCUGGUUGAAGCACAUGGAAGUCCAUAUACAUCCAAGAAGAGGCUUCUACAAAUUUCACAUGGAUUCUCAGAACCAAAACUACAUUGCCAGAAAAGAUCCACCUUCAUUCUGUCAUGCACAACAGUGUUUACUUGUUCCUUACAAGAAAACAAGGAAUAGGUCUAUGGUAUGAGCUGAAAUGAUGACCCAUGAAAAGAUGUAUUCACCCAGAACCUGAGAACAUGACAGAUUUUUUACUUGGAAAAGGGAUCUUUGCAGAUAAAAUUAAGUCUUUGGAUGAAAUCAUCUUGGAUUAACUGGGUGUACCCUAAAUGCAAUGACAUGUCUCCUUAUAAGAAAGAAGGGGACAGUACACAGAGGAACCCUAUGAAGAUGGAAGCUACAUCAGAGUGAUGUAGCUAUAAGCCAAGAAUGUCAAGGAUCACCAGCAGCCACCAGAAUCUAGGAGACAGGUGGGGAAUGGAUUCUUCAUUGGAACCUUCAGAAGGAACUGACACCUUGAUUUUGAACUUCUAGCCCUAGGACUGUGAUGGAAAAAAUUCUUGUUUUCAGCCACCUGGUUUGUGGCAGUGUGUUCUAGCAACUCUAGGAGAUCACAGCCUGUUAGGUGUACACUCUCAGGAACAACAUGUGGAUGGAUGAACUGCCAGACUGCCUGCAGCCCAGGUACCUUAGCUACCAGGGAGCAAGCCUAUCAGCCAGCAUUCUAAUCUGCAUUGAAACAUGGGGGAUUUCCAUAGUCUCCCAGGGCCAGUGACCCCACACAGAAGCUUCUGCCUUUGGCACAUCAGCUAGCAUCGCUGCUCAAAAAUAUCCCAUUAAACCAGGCUUAAGCACAUCUCAGGGCUCCUGGGAAAUAUGUUCAAAUGACAAAGCUGUUCUCCUUUUUGGCAAAGGUCUUUUAUCAAGUGAUACAGAGUAUAUUUUCAAUCAUUCCCAUAUCACAAUGAAGAGACAAACCCUGUUAGCGUGUGUUCACUGUGAAAGAAAAAAAGAAAACAAAACAAACGUAAAAUACCGCAGCUUGGUACACCCAGGGACUAGCUGGGCUUUGAGCCUCCAUGAAUCUUAGCAGUAGCCAGUGAAGUGUAAUUCGAUCUUUUUAACUUCAUGAUAUAUAUUCAUGUCAGUGGCUUUAAGAUAAGGAAAAGACUUUACUGAAAAAUGAAAUAUCUGAUGAAUGACUUGGAGGACGUUGAAUAAUACACAAAUAUUUCUUUCCUCUCAAUCAGAGAGAUUCCAGAUCCUGCUGAGUGAGCUUCCAUCCCUGUCGCUGCCAUUCUUUUAUAGGGAAAACAAUUUGGGAAGAGGAAAGACAAGAAAUCGGGGCACUUGGGGUAGGGGGGAAGGUGCAGGGACCAGGAAAAAGAAGGAGAAGAAAAACUCAGCAUGUAGUAAUUGAAAGAUCCUAAAAGAUGUAGGAAAAUUGGCACAUUGUUGAUAAUAACCAUAAUAACAAAGUUAAUGAUAGGCUCUCAGAAGGACCUCCUUGGUCUCAGAUUUGUUAUAAAGAAAAAGAGCCGUUCAGCUGGCAAGCGUGGCUGAGUUUAGCAAUGCAGCAUCCGUCCGCCAGCAGCCACCUCAGGGGCUGGCUCCUUGUCUCCUGCAUCAUCCCAGCCCCCUGUCUCUCCUGCAAAAUUAUUGGUAUGGAGCCUCUUUGCGACUUGACAAAAGAACAGGUGUAAUCACUCAUGGGAUGGUGUGGAUGGUUUAGGGGUUGCCUUUUCUAAAUUUAUUUCAUUGUUUCCUACGGAAGGGAGGAGAGGCAGCACUGGGUUUGUCAGAUGGGUUAAAGUAGGGCACAGGUGGCCCGAGGGGUGCAAGGAGCAUGCUUUAGGGGGUCGGAGCCUUCCCCUGCUUCCAUCCUCCUGGUAAGGAGUCUGUGCUCUGCUACACAGGUAUCCCAGGGAGGCGCAGAGGAAGUGCGGAGGGUGGGCAGAAGAAAUGCUGAAAUGCUCCCUUAUGAUGAACCUGUGAUGCUCUGGAUGUUUUCUAUUUCACUUUCUUCAUAAGAACAAAAGAGGAAAUGAGGCUUAGGGAGUUUAGAGAACUAAGACCACAUAGCUAAUAAAUACAGAAUCCUGACAUUGAACCUGGAUCCAUAGCUCAUCAAAGGCAAGAUCCUUGUGACAACACCAUGAGCCUGUCCCCACAGGUGGAGGUGGUGCCCUAGAUCAGCCAGGGAUGGGAUGUGAACCCUUAAUUCUGAGAGCUGAGUGGGAGAGACUCCAUUCAAAGAAAGGAAGUUUGCACAAUACAUCGAUAAACACUCAUAAAAAGCGUAUACUGUACGUGGAAAACUGUUUGGAGAACAGCCUCUUUUCCAGAGCUGGCGGGGCCAGUUUGAGCCUACUCGCCUUGCAUUCCAUGUCUUCCACAGGUGCUCUCACCCAGGCCCAUGGCUUCCAGAAUUCCAGUUUAGAACCUUGAGCUACCCACCCUGUAUCAAAGCAUCAGGUGGGUGCUAAAGAUCAGGCAAGACACUGGGUUUUUAGGUUCGCUUCUGUUUAAAAUGUUUUUCAGCAGCAGGCAUCGCCUCCCUCAAGCUAAGUUCUUCAUCCCACAGUUCAUGCACAAUUUCUUGCCAUGUUUGAUAACCACUCAGAACCUUAAUUGGUGUCGUUUUGUUCCAACAUUUGUUAACAACAGCAAAUUACUUAUGGAUGAGGCAUCGCCAGUAAAAUUGCUAAGCAGAGAAGUUUCUCUACUUUUGUGAAAGAAAUAAAAGAGUAGCAGAGGGCAACAUAAGAGCCAUUUCCUUUGCCAAGAAUCUUGAGUAAUGAUUUCCUGUAUCUUUAAUACUCAUUGCGAAGGAACUAAGUAAUUACAGUUUCGUUUUCCAUUUAUAAAGACCAAUAAACCAUUCUCCAGCAGAUAUUAUGCGACCAUAAGUCUCUUUAGAAGUUAUUGUCCAUCUUUGACCUAUGAACGUCCCUAUUUUAACUAUGUUUCAUAAUUAGUAUUGCAGAACAGCCUUAUCACAUUUUUUAAAACUUUAUUUAAAAGGACUUGAAUAAAAUACCUGGAAGCCUGCUAAAUCUGGAAAU
Long non-coding RNA from Canis lupus familiaris (dog), 3910 nucleotides. RefSeq lists it as uncharacterized. The record is from RefSeq and is a predicted model, not a curated record. The transcript has 4 exons. NCBI's taxonomy places the organism in Eukaryota, Metazoa, Chordata, Mammalia, Carnivora, Canidae.